CUGCACUGACAGCCCCCUCUCCCUCUCUUAGUCUUUCUGUUUCCUCUCCCUCCCUCACUCUCCCUCUUUCUCUUCCCCUCUCUUUCUCUCCUUGUCUUUUUGUCUCUUUAUGUCUGUUGCAUUAUGCCUGAAUAAUUUUCAGUCUUUUUUUUUCUCUCCUCUUGCACGCACAUGCUAAAAUAACUAGACAAAGAUGCAAGGUGGUUGCUGCAGUCCCUGUCUCUAGGACAAAACCAAGAAAGCUUGUGAUUGCAAUGCCACCUUUCCUUUUUUUUUUCUCUUCUUUUUUUCUUCCCCAGCCAUGCUUGGUGAUUAAACUUCCUCAGGAUGGGGAAGAAAAAGGAGCUGGAAAUGAAAUAGGGUUGAGGAAAAAUCCUAUUGCAGCAGCUGCAUCCAGUGGUGUCUGCUGCCAGAUGUGCGAAGGUUCCUGGGGUCCUUGUCACUAAAAGGCAGUAUUCAAAUAUUUGGAGACAAAAGCUGCAUCCUCAGUGAUCAUUUUCUUUAUUUAACAUGGCAGCAGGCAUCGUGUGGGGAAAAAUCAACAUGCUGGAUGUUGAAUCGGACUUUUCUCCUUUCUGGGAUGAAAGGAUGUUAUCUAUCCCGUGCCAAGAGGGAACUGAGAGCAAUGAACAUAUGGCUGUUACUAUCAGCACUGGUGUAUUUGCGGCGAUGCCUAUCAACAUCCACCAGAGAGCAGGGCAGCUCCAAAACCCACAUCUUUUAUGCUGUGGAAAUUGAUGGAGACAGCAACACAGCCAGCUUCUUGGCCAAACAACAUGGAAUGCAGUUCAUUUCAAAGGUACUGGUCUCUUAG
This 814-nucleotide long non-coding RNA is filed under the name Zonotrichia albicollis (white-throated sparrow). Its description in RNAcentral is "lncRNA (ENSZALG00000006586.1)". Lineage: Eukaryota; Metazoa; Chordata; Aves; Passeriformes; Passerellidae. The record is from RNAcentral.